CCUCUUGUCUAGGGGGCUGCGCUGUGGAGCAGCAGAGUCCAACAUCAAGUGCUCCCACCUUGGGGAAACUUUGUUUCCCUGGGUAUCGACUUGGAGUCCCAGAAGAUGUUCUUGAACUGAUAACUGAAGGCCCACAGAAGUGCCUUGGGCUUUUCCUGUCAGGUGCUGAGAACAGGACAGUUCAGAGUGACAGUUUCUUCAGAGUUCUGCAAAGAAUUGGAUGCCGUGGGAGGAAGCACAAAGGCAUAAGCAUCUAGAGGCUGUGGAUUCCCCAGAAGAACCUAUUUCCCUGAUAACUAGAGGCUGAACAAGAGCGCGUCGUUAUAGAGGUUUAAAUAACCCACGUAAGGUCAGCUGCUGCUUAAAUCCUUACUACCAGGUCUGUAGAUAUUUUUGCUUUGUUUCUAAGCAAGCUGAGAGUCCCGGUGCCAAAGGGCAACAUGUAAAUUGUGCUGUUAUUCUGCAGUGUGCAAGGUAAUAAAUGGUGCUGUCAAUUGUUUUCA
RNAcentral lists this long non-coding RNA (503 nucleotides) under Anser brachyrhynchus (Pink-footed goose). RNAcentral's name for it is "lncRNA (ENSABRG00000016487.1)". Lineage: Eukaryota; Metazoa; Chordata; Aves; Anseriformes; Anatidae. The record is from RNAcentral.